GCACAAACAAAUAAAACAGCUCACAAUAUACGUAUAAUCAUAGUUAAACUGCGAAUUCUUAUACAAAUUCACAUUUUUAUGAACGCGAUAAGGAGGAUAGAACUUAGAUGAAGAGUGUGCCGAGCGUUUUACUUGAAUAUUUUGCAACUAUGAUUUUACAUAUUAUGUAUAUCCUAUAUAUUUCUGAACAUUUGAAUUUCCCAUAAAUCCGUAAACGUAUAAGUGCGAUUCUUCUUCUUGACUUGUAGCGUUUGAAAUAUCUGUUUACGGAUCGUUCGUUAUUGGAAUCAUUAGAUUCUUAACGAGCGGCGUUUUGAACUCACGCGCGAGUACACAUACGUUUCGCAUUCAAUUGGCGCUGCUUCUUCUUCUAUCGCAAUUAGCGUGAGGAGAGAGAAAAAAAGUCGAGCGCUACUCGAGAUACGUGAACGUUGAGAUAGCGUUGAAAAAAAAAAAAAAAAUGAGAGGAGAGUCGAUAGAGCAGCUUUUUGAUGCAGGUGCUCCACUGUUAAUCAUUCAUCUUUGUGGAUGAUCACUCGAACGUGUUUAGUCAGUUGGAAUCCUGCCAAAUACAAAAUCGAAGCUGGUCUUGCGUGUGCUGAUCCUGCCAGAAGUCAAAUUUGACGGGACAAUAAAUUCAAGUGAAGAAUUAAGAGCAACCGGACUGAGGGACUAAAAAAGGAUGGAUGAAAUAAAAUCGCGCGACUUUUUCAUCGCGAUGACCUAAAUGGCCACGGAUAGGACUAAAUGUUUCUCGCGAUAAUAAAAUGUCGUUUCUACUAUGAUUUUUAUCCUUUCAUAAAUAUUAUAUAACGAUAGUAACGCUUACACAAAAUAGAAUUGAAUUUUCCAUUGUAUCAAAUGCAUGUUAUUUUUUUUACGCUUGUAAUUAUAAUCAUGGAAAAUAAACUAUUAUAAUACACGUCAAAUUAUUGAAUAUUCAAGGCUUCCGUUUGUUAAAUAUUGUAAUUCAAAUGAAAUAUAUUAAGCAAUUCUUUUACAUAUAAAACUUAAUGAACUAAAAUGAA
This is a long non-coding RNA of Bombus huntii, 1028 nucleotides long. RefSeq lists it as uncharacterized. Lineage: Eukaryota; Metazoa; Arthropoda; Insecta; Hymenoptera; Apidae. The record is from RefSeq and is a predicted model, not a curated record. The transcript is spliced from 2 exons.